GUCCAGACUCCUACGGGAGGCAGCAGUGGGGAAUAUUGCACAAUGGGCGCAAGCCUGAUGCAGCGACGCCGCGUGCGGGAUGGAGGCCUUCGGGUUGUAAACCGCUUUUGUUCAAGGGCAAGGCACGGUCUUUGGCCGUGUUGAGUGGAUUGUUCGAAUAAGCACCGGCUAACUCCGUGCCAGCAGCCGCGGUAAUACGGGGGAUGCGAGCGUUAUCCGGAUUUAUUGGGUUUAAAGGGUGCGUAGGCGGCGCUUCAGGUCAGCGGUGAAAUACCGGGGCUCAACCCCGGGGCUGCCGUUGAAACCGGAGCGCUAGAAUUCCGAUGCCGUCGGAGGAAUGUGUGGUGUAGCGGUGAAAUGCAUAGAUAUCACACAGAACACCGAUUGCGAAGGCAUCUGACGAAUCGGAGAUUGACGCUGAUGCACGAAAGCGUGGGUAUCGAACAGGAUUAGAUACCCUUGUAA
This 465-nucleotide ribosomal RNA is filed under the name uncultured bacterium. Its description in RNAcentral is "bacterial SSU rRNA". It matches the Rfam family "Bacterial small subunit ribosomal RNA", at positions 329 to 793 of the family's 1533-position model. The record is from RNAcentral.